RNAcentral lists this long non-coding RNA (3290 nucleotides) under Homo sapiens (human). RNAcentral's name for it is "HSALNT0371827". Lineage: Eukaryota; Metazoa; Chordata; Mammalia; Primates; Hominidae. The record is from RNAcentral.
CCCGGCAUCCCCCGCGUCCUCUCCCCUGUGUCCCGGCAUCCCCCGCGUCCUCUCCCCUGUGUCCCGGCAUCCCCCGCGUCCUCUCCCCUGUGUCCCGGCAUCCCCUGUGUCCCCUGCAUCCUCUCCCCUGUGUCCCGGCAUCCCCCGCAUCCUGUCCCCUGUGUCCCUGGCUUUCUCUGUGUCCUCUCCCCUGUGACCCAGCAUCCCCUGUGUCCUUGCUCCUGGACACCAGCCACCAGGGAAAGGCCACACCAGAGUCAGCUUUCCCCGUCACAGAUCAGCUGGCUGGGCUUUUGUGGGUCUAUUCCUGGGCUCCCCGUUUCGUCCCAGUCAUCCAUUUAUCUGUUCUUUCAUUGAUACUGUUACCUGGGAUGAAUGCCUAUGGAACAUAGCUGAAUUUCUACCCUGCGCUAACUCUGCUUAUCUUUAGGAAACAGGACUCCCAGGAUAAAAAGUUCCCUUUCUAACCAGACCAGCUGAGACUGGUUGAAACCAAGAUAGCUGACCGAGAAACUUCAAAAAGACCUUCAGCCUUAUUAUCAUCUCAUUUCCAUGCUCAGUGACACGCCCACAGUGCCAUGAUGGUUGGAAAUCACCAUGACGAUGACUGGAGGAAGGAAGGUCGCGCUCCGGUUCCAGGAAGCUCACUGCCCGCUCCCGGAAAAGACAUGAAUAUUCCUCCCCUUGCUUGGUGUGUCCAACCCUUUCAUGAGACAGUCAGUGUGUGUCAGCCUCCCCACCCCUCCCAGGCUGAGUGGAUUUGUGAGCCGCACUCCCACUUCUCAAUGCCAGGGCCACGGAAUGAAGCCUGCACUGCGGACACUCACUUUCGGUUUCAUGUAUUGGCUUCGUGACACCCCACAGCGAAAGACCCUCUGUUCUGGGGGAAUGACUGUGUUGGUGACAAAACCAUGCUUUCUGGAUCACUGUGGUAUUACGGCAGGGCUUGAAGUCAGGUAUGUGGGUUCUCCAACUCUGUUCUUUUUUCUUCCUCAUGGUGUUGGCUGUCCGAGGACUUUCGCCUUUCCAUAUGAACUUUAGACUCAGGUGGCAUCGCCUGCAGAAUGCCUUGCUGGGAUUGGCCGGGAUUGAACGUUAGACUCAGGUGGCAUCACCUGCAGAAUGCCUUGCUGGGAUUGGCCGGGAUUGAACGUUAGACUCAGGUGGCAUCACCUGCAGAAUGCCUUGCUGGGACUGGCUGGGAUUGAACGUUAGACUCAGGUGGCAUCGCCUGCAGAAUGCCUUGCGGGGAUUGGCUGGGAUUGAACGUUAGACUCAGGUGGCAUCGCCUGCAGAAUGCUUUGCUGGGAUUGGCUGGGAUUGAACGUUAGACUCAGGUGGCAUCGCCUGCAGAAUGCCUUGCUGGGAUUGGCCGGGAUUGAACGUUAGACUCAGGUGGCAUCGCCUGCAGAAUGCCUUGCUGGGAUUGGCCGGGAUUGAACGUUAGACUCAGGUGGCAUCACCUGCAGAAUGCCUUGCUGGGAUUGGCUGGGAUUGAACGUUAGACUCAGGUGGCAUCGCCUGCAGAAUGCCUUGCGGGGAUUGGCUGGGAUUGCAGCGAAUCACCUCUUGGCUCUAAUAGCCAAAAUUCAUAGCUGUGCAGAACUCUCUUUGAAAAAAUGGCCAAUGAUUACAUAAGAGUGAAUCCAAUUCCCAUUAACAAAUCUUAAUAUAAUACAUCCAACAAAGCUACGUGUAGAAACUAAGUGACAUCAAACAUAUGCUUGUCGUAAUCACGUGUGUUGAAAACUGUGUUGAAAAGUGCACCAGGUGCCAGUAGGGGCCAAGGGACCUAGGCCCCUUGCCAAGGUCAGCGCAUGCUGACCUGCGCUGGUGGUCGGGUGGAGGGCUCCAUUUGCAAACAGGCGACAGUUGGCUGCCAAUCUUGUUGAUCAUUUAUUUGCUGAUCAAAAAGGAAUUCUGUCAGUACUGUGCACCCUAACACAAUAUUUGGACCUUCAUACAUGUAUUAGUCGGUUUUCCUGCUGCUAAUAAAGACAUACCCAAGACUGGGUAAUUUAUAAAGGAAAGAGGUUUAAUGGACUCACAGUUCCGCAUGGCUGGGGAGGCCUCACAAUCAUGGUGAAUGGCAAAGGAGGAGCAAAGUUGCAUCUUACAUGGCAGCAAGCAAGAGGCCUUGUGCAGGGGAACUCCCAUUUAUAAAACCAUUAGAUCUCAUGAGACUUACUCACUAUCACGAGAACGGCAUGGGAAAUGUCUGCCUCCAUGAUUCAAUUACUUCCCACCAGGUCCCUCCCACAACACAUGGGAAUUAUGGGAGCUACAAUUCAAGAUGAGAUUUGGGUGGGGACUCAGCCAAACCAUAUCGAUACAUAAGCAUUUUACUGGGCUUUGGCUGUAUUAAGGGAUUGAUUGGAGAUUUUAAGAUCAUACAUUAUAAUUUUUCCCAUUUAAAAUAAUGCAAAAUGUGUUCUUCAUUGAUGCUUCCAAGCACAGAUUCUGACAUUUUGCAACAGGAUUCCAAUGUUAAGAGAAAGCUCCGUGUCACUUACUGGUUCUGAUGGGUCAGACCUGGACUCGGGGAAUGGAGGGGCUGGGUUCCUCCUAAACCACAGGGACUGAGGUGGGGUACGAGUGACUACCCAAAAGAACACUGGGGUUCAUUUAGCAACAGGAUGGGAAAUGGAUACUGAAAAGCAAAAUAACAAAUUUUACAAAAAUGUUUUCUGUCCAAGAAUUAAAUAUGUGACACAUCAAUGUGUUCAAUGUCCUUACAUAUUAUGCGUAAGACAUCUGGGCACAGAUAGGAAGGCAGGACAGGUCUGAGCACCUCCCGCCACCUCUCCCCUCCCGGCUCAGGAAAGCUGCUCACAGCUGCAGCCAGCCCGGCCCCCCGCCCUCACCUGCUCCCCCUGCUGUCUCCAGAGUCCCUGGGCUUUCUCCCCCUCCACCUGUUUCCUCUCCUUGGGCUGCCUCUCCCAGGCUAAACAUGCCCGGGGCACAUCAGUGUUGAAAAGAGCUGUUUCUCUGCUGUCCUCACCCCUAAGCUACAGGCUACACCUUGUUUCCCACCCACGGAGAAUCUUCUAGGGAAAUUAGUGCACAGGAUAAGCUUUUAACAGAUUAUCAGAAACGUUUUCAUCCUAGUGUUUCCUGUGACCAUGUGGCCCGCCCAUCCAGGAUGGUCUGCAUCCAGGGAAAGAUGGGGAAGAGGGGAGGGCAGGCCCAGUGGGGGCCUCCCCACCCACAGGCCCCUCCUCCUCCUGAUGGAGCAGCCCCAUCUGCUACAAGCACUCCCCAGGGGUGCGGGGUUCAUGCUUAGAGCAGCA